GUGUGCUGUAGACAGGGGCUGCAGUGUAGAAGCUACUUGUCACUCCCUGGGCUUAGAGAGGGAAAAGGAGGUAAAUCAAGGGAGCGAGCGAAGCCUUGGGAUCCUGGCCCUGAGGAAAGGGUUUACCAAGAAGCGUGUAGAGGAGAACCUAUUGGAGGCAGAGUAGGAAGCAGCCCAGGGAAAGAGAAGUGAGGGUUGAAAUUGUAUAGACAUUGGCGGCUGAUUAUAUGGUCCCUGAGUUGCAACCUGGAGUAGUGGGUGGGCCUGGGUUCCCCUACCAAUACUGGGAAGUGGCACAGGGUUAUGGGAGACAGCUGGAAAACUGGUCUGGAAGGACUUUGAUACUCCAGAAGGGAGGAGUACCUAGUGACCUAACCAGAAAGCUGAGACACAAAGAGAGAGAGAACCCUGAGUUGCAGAGAAAGAGAUGCGGUGGGGUGAAUGAACAACAGAAGGGGAGAGCUGAUUCCCCAGACACAGCCACAGAGAGGCGCACCAAUGGUCUCUAGAUCGAGUCCACUGAGUGGUUCUUUCUUGUAUGAGGAGCCCCACUGAAAUGAAUUGCCUCUCAUUUGAAUCUUUCAGUCUUCAACUUCCAGCCAUUAGAGUGUGUUGUACUUCUGCUACUUGACUAAGGAGUCGAGCUGGUGAGCCCAAAAUAUUGCCCCAGAGACCAAACUGAGUAACUCAGUGCCAUGGAAGAAAGAUCUUCCUUCCAGACAGAGCUCCUCUUUGGCUGACAGUUCAGCCUCAGGGCUGGAGUACCCUUUGUGAAACUAAUGUGUCCAGCCCAAUACAAACACCCAGGAAGAAGGACUGGAAAAUCAAUGUAGUUGUGAAUCCUCUCACCUCACUCCCAAAGGGAAAUUUUGCAUGGACAGACAAGGAACUCAUGUGGAAUAUGCAUAGAAUCUGCAAAAUGCAGGGAAUGAAUGAUACCUGCCGGGUAUCCAGAAUCCUAUCCCUAUCUCUUACCACUUCCCACAGAGAAGAAUCACAGCUGUUCACAUUGUGAAUCACAUUCUGUUCUUCAUUCAUGGAGGCUGGAGAAGGAUUUUUGUUCAGUGGUGAAUACUGUAGCUAUAUGGAAGAAAAUAAUCAUAUAAAGAUAUAUACCUUCUAUAAGGUGAACAAUGUCUGGAAUGUUGUCAGCCAGCC
Chelonia mydas (Green sea turtle) is the source of this 1158-nucleotide long non-coding RNA. RefSeq lists it as uncharacterized. The transcript has 4 exons. The record is from RefSeq and is a predicted model, not a curated record. NCBI's taxonomy places the organism in Eukaryota, Metazoa, Chordata, Testudines, Cheloniidae.